GGGCUUAUAGCUAUCACUUAGGUGUUGGGCAGUUGAAAGACAGAACAGUUAAGUUGAGCACUAUGCUACCCGCUCUUCGAUCAACUAUUAUUCUAGAGUUUUGCAAGAUUUUCAAAUAAAACUAAGAAUUUCUUUGUUUGAAACUUUCUAGUCUCUCAUAUGUGGUAUUUUUGGAUGCUUUCCAAGGCAAGUGAGUAUGCCUUCUCUCUGCUCUCAGAAUAUGUGGUAUUUGUAUCAGUAAGACAUAGUUGCCUUAUCUCUCUCACCCUACUUCUAAUUGGCUUAUGUGGAGCUGAUAGGUGGAAAAGAUAAUUCAAACCUACUUGGAUGUAUUGCAUAGUUAAACCAUGGAUCCAGAGAAACUAAUUAUAUAAUCAAGUAAUAUGUGCAUGUGAGUGAAGUGAAAUGAAGUGAUAAGAAUGAAAGGGGUUAUGAGGGGUGAUAACUGAUGGUGAAUAUCUAAUUCUACAUUUGCUCCUUGGGGAUAACAUACCUCCCUAAUCCGAGAACAAGGAUUUGGUUGUCUUUCUUUUCUUUUGCAUUGGGACUUUUGUCCUCUUUCUUUCUUUUUCUCUCUUUUUUUCUCUCUUUUUUAGAGAUCAGCCAUCCCUUUUAAUUCAAUGACAACAGUAGGGAGUAUCAACUGGGAUGACAUUGGAUAAGUAGAAUAAGACACUGAAUAUUUUUGGGUGCCUUCUCCUAGUGUAGGAGUAGAACAUUUUCUAAGUGGACGUAGAAUGUGUGUGGGUGAAUGAAGGAAUGUGUACUCCUAGGGUAGGAGCAGCAUAGGUGCAUGUCUCCAGGAUAGAAACAACAUAGAGUGUAGUGUGUAUAUGUGGGUGGUACUUCCAGGAACAGAAGUAGCACAUAGUGAAUGUGGUGGAUGAGAGUGGUUACAUACUUCUAAGGAUAGAAGUAGCUAAGAUCAAUAGUUGGAGAGCACAUAAUAUUGAAUUUAACUGCAUGACUAGUUCCAGAGGGUCUACAUAGCUUAACUACUCUCAAUGCUUAUAGGUUGAAACAUAUGUGGAGGCUUUUCUAAUCUAGUAAGCAUGAGUAAUUGGUUGUGGUAGGAAUUUUAAAACUCUUG
Molecule: long non-coding RNA, 1090 nt
Filed under: Sorghum bicolor (sorghum)
Lineage: Eukaryota; Viridiplantae; Streptophyta; Magnoliopsida; Poales; Poaceae
Description: long non-coding RNA (SBIC_LNC016020)
Source: RNAcentral